ACAUAUCAUUUGGAUGAAUCACU
Molecule: non-coding RNA, 23 nt
Filed under: Arabidopsis thaliana (thale cress)
Lineage: Eukaryota; Viridiplantae; Streptophyta; Magnoliopsida; Brassicales; Brassicaceae
Source: RNAcentral